RNAcentral lists this ribosomal RNA (772 nucleotides) under uncultured bacterium. RNAcentral describes it as "bacterial SSU rRNA". It matches the Rfam family "Bacterial small subunit ribosomal RNA", at positions 8 to 796 of the family's 1533-position model. The record is from RNAcentral.
AGAGUUUGAUCCUGGCUCAGGACGAACGCUGGCGGCACGCUUAAAACAUGCAAGUCGAACGUGAAGCCCGGGCUUGCCCGGGUGGAAAGUGGCGAACGGGUGCGUAACACGUGAGCAACCUGCCCCGAAGACCGGGAUAACACCGGGAAACCGGUGCUAAUACCGGAUGUCUUCACCAUGUCGCAUGGCGAGGUGAAGAAAUGGAUUCCGCUUCGGGAUGGGCUCACGGCCUAUCAGCUUGUUGGUGGGGUAACGGCCUACCAAGGCAACGACGGGUAGCUGGUCUGAGAGGAUGUCCAGCCACACUGGGACUGAGACACGGCCCAGACUCCUACGGGAGGCAGCAGUUAGGAAUCUUGCGCAAUGGGCGAAAGCCUGACGCAGCGAUGCCGCGUGCGGGAUGAAGGCCCUCGGGUCGUAAACCGCUUUCAGCAGGGACGAUAGUGACGGUACCUGCAGAAGAAGCCCCGGCCAACUACGUGCCAGCAGCCGCGGUAAUACGUAGGGGGCGAGCGUUGUCCGGAUUUAUUGGGCGUAAAGAGCUCGUAGGCGGUUUGGUAAGUCGGGUGUGAAAUCUCCACGCUCAACGUGGAGGGGCCACUCGAUACUGCCAUGACUCGAGUCCGGUAGAGGAGUGUGGAAUUCCCGGUGUAGCGGUGAAAUGCGCAGAUAUCGGGAGGAACACCCGUAGCGAAGGCGGCACUCUGGGCCGGAACUGACGCUGAGGAGCGAAAGCGUGGGGAGCAAACAGGAUUAGAUACCCUUGUAGUCC